CCAAACUUGUAAAGGAGGAUAUUCCAGUCACCAGCCUUCAGAUGACGCCCGCUUUCCCAACCCCAGCUGACUGCAGACAUUCCCCAAAUAGGAUGUUAUAGAGAUGAAUGAAGCAAUGUUUCCAAGAUGCUUGGAGGUCUGGGAUGAAAAUCUGCUGAAACAGAGCAAAAAGCUAAGUCGUGAUCAGCCUUGCAUACAGCGGAAUGUAGAUCCUCGUCAUCGGAUUUGGACCCAGUGUAGACAGCACCUGAGCAUCAGUCAACUCCACCUUCUAAAGCCUGUGUUUAGCCACUGCAUCAAAAAGCAAAAGUACCAAUGGACAUUCUUCACCCUGGUUCAGCGUUUCUUCAGCCAAGUGCUUACUCAAGGAACCAAGAAUAAGAGAUAACAAUUUUUUAAAUAUGCAGAAACCCACCAAUAUGAAAAAAGAAGAUUGAAGGCCUUAUAAAAUAUAAAUGUUUCCUCACUGGUGACAGCCCUGCCACUAUUAAGCAUUGGUAUAUUAGUCCCCAAGACAUUUACUGCCAUCUGUUGGAAAAUUAGUAGAAUGAAUACAUUAAUCUAAGAUGACCACAAACAUACAUGUCAUCACAUAGUUUUGUGUAGUGUACAAUCUACAACAUACGAGGAUGCAAACCAAAAGUUUUGAGAAGGGAUAAUCAUGCUUAAAAUAAGCCCCACAGACAAUAUUAUUACCAUUAUUUUUCAUUGAUAAUGUAUUCAAUUAGAUAGUAGACAUUUGAGGAAAUGACAAAUAAGAAAGAUCUAAUUGUGACAUAAUUUAUUCAAUAAUUCAUUUAUACAGAAAAUAUUUAUCAAGUGUCUAUAAUGAGUCGAGCUUUAUUCUGGGAUCUAGUUAUAGAGCAAUGAAUAAAUAACACAGACAAAAUUAUCUCCCCUUACAGAGUUUCUGUGGGGAAAAACAAUAAAGUUUAGAUAAGUAUGUCAUUUAUGAGAUAGUAAUAAUUGCUAAAGACAAAAAGUCAAGGAUAAGAAAUACAAAAAUGUUGGGUGAUAAGUAGUUUGAGAAAAAACUUAGGAAGUUCACACAGUGGGGAAUAGUUUGUGUCACUUUAGUCAUAAUGAAAGGCCUUAUCAUAUAUAGGCAUCAAACAGUCUUCAAAAGAAUAUUGCCUUAGUACUGGGGCUACAUUGACUCUAAACCAAAAGCUGCUCUGACCUGCCCUAACAAAGUUCAAAACAAAGACUUGAAAGAAUGCAACUAAUCCCAACUAACUUGACUUUAUGCCAGAACAAAAUCCAACAUGAUUUAAAGAAAAACAACCAAAUUCAGCAAACAGCAAUAAAAAUUUCACAAUGCUUGGUAUCCAAUCAAGUAUAAUUAGUUUUGCAAAGUAGGAAAAUUUAUCCAAAACCAAGAAAAAAUUAAUAAAAGCAGAUUUUAAAAGAUCAGAGCUGAUAAAAUUAGGAGACAGAGACAUUGAGACAGCCAGGCUAAGUAUAUCCAAUGUGUUUAAGAAAAUAGAUGAAUAUAUAAGAAUCAAGAGAAAAGAAAUGGUAGAUUUUUUUAGAUGAUAUUAAAAGUAGAUUUGACACUGUAAAAUAAAUAAUCAAUGAACUUAAAAAUAUAAAAAUAAAUAAAGUGCAGAGAGAAAAAAUAAAAAUAAAGAUCAGAGUAUCCAUGUCCUGAGAGAAUAUCAAAUAGUCUAACAUUUGUGUAAUUGGUGUCCUAGAAGGGUAAUGUGCAGAAAAAGACACUAAUAAAAUAAAAUAAAUCACUAACAUUUUCCAAAUUUGGUGAAAACUAUAAAAUUUCCUGUACUGGGUUGAAUAGUGUGUCUCCCUCCCAAACUCAAGAAACACACACACCAAAUUCAUGUCCAUCCAGAACCUGUGACAGUGACCUUAGCUCGAAAUAGGGUUUUUGUAGAUGUAAUCAAGUUAAGAAGAGUUAAUGCUAAACUAAGAUGUACCCUAAUCUAGUGACUUGUGUCCUUGUAAAAACAGGAAAAUUUGUGCACAGAAAUAUGUGAAGAGGUCAUGUGAAGACAUAAACAGAUAUUGGAGUAAGGUAUCUACAAGCCAAGGAACACUAAAAAUUACUAGCAACCACCAGAACCAAGAAGAGACAAGGAAGGAGUCUUCCCUAGACCCUUCAGAGGGAGCAUGGCCCUGCCAAAAUCUUGA
This 2148-nucleotide long non-coding RNA is filed under the name Homo sapiens (human). Its description in RNAcentral is "HSALNT0353084". The record is from RNAcentral. Lineage: Eukaryota; Metazoa; Chordata; Mammalia; Primates; Hominidae.